This 1141-nucleotide ribosomal RNA is filed under the name Lacticaseibacillus casei. RNAcentral describes it as "bacterial SSU rRNA". It matches the Rfam family "Bacterial small subunit ribosomal RNA", at positions 86 to 1195 of the family's 1533-position model. Lineage: Bacteria; Bacillati; Bacillota; Bacilli; Lactobacillales; Lactobacillaceae. The record is from RNAcentral.
AUGGAACGAGUGGCGGACGGGUGAGUAACACGUGGGUAACCUGCCCUUAAGUGGGGGAUAACAUUUGGAAACAGAUGCUAAUACCGCAUAGAUCCAAGAACCGCAUGGUUCUUGGCUGAAAGAUGGCGUAAGCUAUCGCUUUUGGAUGGACCCGCGGCGUAUUAGCUAGUUGGUGAGGUAAUGGCUCACCAAGGCGAUGAUACGUAGCCGAACUGAGAGGUUGAUCGGCCACAUUGGGACUGAGACACGGCCCAAACUCCUACGGGAGGCAGCAGUAGGGAAUCUUCCACAAUGGACGCAAGUCUGAUGGAGCAACGCCGCGUGAGUGAAGAAGGCUUUCGGGUCGUAAAACUCUGUUGUUGGAGAAGAAUGGUCGGCAGAGUAACUGUUGUCGGCGUGACGGUAUCCAACCAGAAAGCCACGGCUAACUACGUGCCAGCAGCCGCGGUAAUACGUAGGUGGCAAGCGUUAUCCGGAUUUAUUGGGCGUAAAGCGAGCGCAGGCGGUUUUUUAAGUCUGAUGUGAAAGCCCUCGGCUUAACCGAGGAAGCGCAUCGGAAACUGGGAAACUUGAGUGCAGAAGAGGACAGUGGAACUCCAUGUGUAGCGGUGAAAUGCGUAGAUAUAUGGAAGAACACCAGUGGCGAAGGCGGCUGUCUGGUCUGUAACUGACGCUGAGGCUCGAAAGCAUGGGUAGCGAACAGGAUUAGAUACCCUGGUAGUCCAUGCCGUAAACGAUGAAUGCUAGGUGUUGGAGGGUUUCCGCCCUUCAGUGCCGCAGCUAACGCAUUAAGCAUUCCGCCUGGGGAGUACGACCGCAAGGUUGAAACUCAAAGGAAUUGACGGGGGCCCGCACAAGCGGUGGAGCAUGUGGUUUAAUUCGAAGCAACGCGAAGAACCUUACCAGGUCUUGACAUCUUUUGAUCACCUGAGAGAUCAGGUUUCCCCUUCGGGGGCAAAAUGACAGGUUGGUGCAUGNGUUGUCGUCANGCUCGUGUCCUGGAGAUGUUGGGGUUAAGUCCCCGCAACCAAGCGCAACCCUUUAUGACUAGUUUGCCAGCAUUUAGUUUGGGCACUCCUAGUAAGAACUGGCCGGUGACAAAACCGGGAAGAAAGGUGGGGGAUGAACGUCCAAAUCAUCC